This 620-nucleotide long non-coding RNA is filed under the name Helianthus annuus (common sunflower). RNAcentral's name for it is "sRNA HanXRQr2_Chr11g0469061". Lineage: Eukaryota; Viridiplantae; Streptophyta; Magnoliopsida; Asterales; Asteraceae. The record is from RNAcentral.
CAAGGGAAACCCUUGUUUAUGCAAAAUUCAUUCAAUUGACAAGGAGAUCCAAGGCUAAUCAGUUGCAUGACUUCAAUUUUUCGAUCAUCUUAACAUACUCAGUAAAGUGGCGUGAAGGAAGAAGGUACAAGCACUAGGAAAACGGGAAGCACGCAAGAUCGAGGUAAAACUCCACUUAGGCGAUUUGGAGAUACGGAGCGAGCACGUGUCCAUGCUUUAUUAUACCAAGCGCUUCCGCUAGUUAUAUGCACACUUUUUGGGUCCAUGUCUUGUUAUUUUGUUUAAUCUUGUUAGAAGUCAUACACUUAAAAACUUGUUGUCUUCGUUUUGGGAAGUUUAAAGUUAAAUGGGUCGUAGAUUUUCGUUAGUUUAAUAUAUUAAAAACAGGUGGCAUGCUCGUUUUACGAACGGGUCAUGCCCAAUUUUUGUAAGAAUUUCGUUAUGUAUUAAAUUUGGUAUGUUGAUGUCUUUAAAAUUCUUUUUAUAAGUAGUUUAUCUUUUUAUGGAAAAGCGGACCUUACAGGUAGUGAAGAUGAUGAUAUGGAUAAUCAUGCAUGUUCAUUAGUUGUUAUGAAAAUUACAUGAUUCUAGUGGAAUUUGAUGAUCUUGAUAUGAGUUAG